This 380-nucleotide ribosomal RNA is filed under the name uncultured eukaryote. RNAcentral's name for it is "partial 18S ribosomal RNA". It matches the Rfam family "Eukaryotic small subunit ribosomal RNA", at positions 592 to 976 of the family's 1831-position model. The record is from RNAcentral.
CAAUAGCGUAUAUUAAUGUUGUUGCAGUUAAAAAGCUCGUAGUUGGAUUUCUGGUGGGAGCGGCCGGUCCGCCGUAAGGUGUGUACUUGGUUGUCUCCUGUCAUCCUUGUGGGAACUGCUCUGGCAUUAAGUUGUCGGGGUUAGGGAACACAUCGUUUACUGUGAAAAAAUUAGAGUGUUUAAAGCAGGCUUAUGCCGUUGAAUACAUUAGCAUGGAAUAAUAAGAUAGGACUUUGGCGUCUAUUUUGUUGGUUUGCACACCAAGGUAAUGAUUAAUAGGAACAGUUGGGGGCAUUCGUAUUUCAUUGUCAGAGGUGAAAUUCUUGGAUUUAUGAAAGACGAACUUCUGCGAAAGCAUUUGCCAAGGAUGUUUUCAUUAA